This 16-nucleotide transfer RNA is filed under the name Poecilia reticulata (guppy). RNAcentral describes it as "partial tRNA". Lineage: Eukaryota; Metazoa; Chordata; Actinopteri; Cyprinodontiformes; Poeciliidae. The record is from RNAcentral.
UCUAAACUAUUCUUUG